RNAcentral lists this unclassified non-coding RNA (767 nucleotides) under uncultured Prochlorococcus sp. Its description in RNAcentral is "partial may contain 16S ribosomal RNA, 16S-23S ribosomal RNA intergenic spacer, and 23S ribosomal RNA". The stretch from base 333 to 405 matches the Rfam family "tRNA". Lineage: Bacteria; Bacillati; Cyanobacteriota; Cyanophyceae; Synechococcales; Prochlorococcaceae. The record is from RNAcentral.
CGCCGAAGGUGGGGCUGAUGACUGGGGUGAAGUCGUAACAAGGUAGCCGUACCGGAAGGUGCGGCUGGAUCACCUCCUAACAGGGAGACAUAAACUGAUUAUGAUGUCUGAAUAAAAUUUAGGCCGUAAUCCUGUCACCUUAGGUCGAUCGGUACCUCAGAUUGAUAUUUAAGUGAAGUUGAUUCUCAAUUUUACUUUUCAAUUUUAGUUCCUAAACUUGUCUAGGUCACACCCAACAAACUUUCUCCUGGGCUAUUAGCUCAGGCGGUUAGAGCGCACCCCUGAUAAGGGUGAGGUCCCUGGUUCAAGUCCAGGAUGGCCCAUUCGUUGUUGGGGGUAUAGCUCAGUUGGUAGAGCGCCUGCUUUGCAAGCAGGAUGUCAGCGGUUCGAGUCCGCUUACCUCCACUGAUCAACUACCUGAUAACUCAAUUUGGAGAUUGUUAUUUGGUUAAAGUGACUUAGAUGUUGUUCAAUCUGAAUGAACCUAGCUUCCUAUCAUACCUAAUAUAUUUGUAUUUGGCUGAUAAGACGCUGGGCUCACUACUAUUCGAAAGUUUUAGUAGUUUGAUUCAGUAGAACCUUGACAACUGCAUAGGAAAGUCUGGAAAAAUAAAGCAUCUCAUAGAUGCAAAAAGCUAUUAAUUUAGUACUUCUAACAUUAAUACUUUUUGCUUAAUUCUUGAGUUAGAGCAAAUUUACUUUUGAUGAAAAUGCUUUUAAAAAGUAUUUUUUCAAUAGUAACUAAUGGUCAAGCUACAAAGGGCUCA